CGCGAGCGCUGGAAUGUUUUCACCGCGGAGCGCGCGCGACGUCGAGAAGAAUGCUUCAGCUACUCCCACUUCCCUCCCGUCCAAUCGACAUCGAGCGGAGCCGUUUCAAGGCGUCCCUCCACCACCACCCCCUCCCGUGAAAGCCCAAACGAUGAAAACAACACAACGGCCGAAAGAAACGCCAUUAACGGCGCCUUUUCUCUGCCCUCGCCCCUUAUCCACUUGCCGUCGCUUUUAGUCACGUCCGACCGGCGGCACGCUCACGCGCUCGACGCGUUUUAUGCGUCCGGGCGGUUUUAUGCGUCGAGCGCGCGGCGGUGUGGAGCUCCGCGGCCCGGCACUGGGGCUGUUUAUGUGUGUAGUAAAAGGGGAGGAGGAGUGUAAGGGGGGGCUUGAAACAGUCCGCCUUGCCCCGUGUCCUCGCUUGUUUUCCUUUUUCUCGCUCGGAUUCUCCAUGUUGGUCGGAGCGCGCGCGCGGUGAAGAGACUCCAGCGCAGAAAUAAAUGCACCCCGCUCGAGCUCGGAACAACGCACAAAAUUCGGAGACGCGCAGCCCGGAGCUCGAUCAGGUGGUGAGAGGAGAAACCUCAGGAACCCCUCCUUGAUGCACCAGAGGACAAGGCGGGAACGCAUGGAACAUUUCCUUGAAUUUGGUGCAGCCCUGAAGCUCAGGAUUCCCAGUGACAAAUUCCUCCUACCAAUGAUGCCCCAUUUAAGGAUAGCAGUACUGCCAGCAAGAUCCCAGAUAGAUGAGACCGGUCAUGAACCUGGAUGAGACGCUAGACUGAAGUUUGCUCAAGUGUUCCAGCUUCUGAUACAAAUGAAACCUGAAUUUAAUUGUAAGGAAGUGGUUUUGAUCUGAAUUCCUUCUUCACAACACUGUUUUUCUAUCCAUCCACUUCCCUGUCUUUCUUUUACUGAUCUAUUUCUUCUGGCAAUAUAUAUAUACACACAGCACAAUGAAUACUAUGUGUUCUAGCAGGGCUGAGAUGUUUUCAGGACCCUUGCCCUGGAUCCUGGAACUAACGAGGAACCUCCUCCUCCACCAGCUGACGUCUAGGUCGGGGGUUUCCACGCGUAACGACGACGUCGAGCGUUUCACUGCAUCGCAUUUAUCUGAGCAGCUGAACUGGUUUGAUGCCCAUAAACUAACUGCCUUUAUUUCAUUAAUAAAAAAUUGUCAAAUAAAAAUAUUCAUAUUAUGACUCCAGUAGUGUAUUAUUAUUAUUAUGUAAUUUUCUAAAAAGAAUAAGAUAAAUUACAAAUAUACUGGAUUGUGGCUGGUGGUUAAAAUACACCACAGUGUAUUAAACUGAAAGCUGAACUCAAGAUCUUUUCUGUUUUUUUCUCACAUCUUGGAAAAGCUGCACAUUUGGACCCACAGAUAUUGUAGCAAGAGAAAUUCUGAUAUCCUGUAUCAUGUUGUUAAAAUAUUCUACAUCACAUAUCUUUUUUGGAAAGUGCUGUAUGCAUAUGCAUGUAUUAAUUCACUUUUAAAAGAAAUCAGGCAUCUCCUCAGGCCUGACAUCAUUGAUAAGAUCUGUAAUGCAGGUGCUACAGUAACACAGCACCAGCUUGUGUAUUUGUGUCGAAUCAGCAAAUCUGUAUUACACGUAUAUCAUAUUCUUUCUCCUUGUACUGUAACUUAUUUUCUAAAGAGUUUGUUUCAUGUUGAAGCACAUUGAAUGGUGAAUAAAUAUGGAAAUAUUGCA
Long non-coding RNA from Silurus meridionalis, 1712 nucleotides. RefSeq lists it as uncharacterized. NCBI's taxonomy places the organism in Eukaryota, Metazoa, Chordata, Actinopteri, Siluriformes, Siluridae. The record is from RefSeq and is a predicted model, not a curated record. The transcript has 5 exons.